CGAUAAUCAGCCGCAUCUUUUGGGCGCGGGCGAUCAGGUAGAUCCUAUCGCUCCACCACCAUGUCGCGUCGCGAGACUUCACUUCAGGUUGAUCAACUAUCGAGGAGUAUAUCAGUGCGUGAUGAUUAGCCUGAGCUACCUCGUCAAAGGUGGAAUUCUAGAGGGUGACUUAAGUCCCAGUUCAGCACGUUGUUUUCAGGACUAAGUUCUUUGACGGUGUCAGUAAUCAGUAAGAAUGAGUGUAUGGUCGAGACAAUUUUGAACACAGAAAGCUUCACUUAUGAUAAAUUAGCUAAUGAAUUGAUUGACCCUGUAAGUUUGGCAAGCUUGCUAGGGCUGCAAGGAAUUGUGCUUAUAUUACUGGAUAAAUUUCCCAACCUCGUGAACAAUAAGAACACCACCUGUGGAUACACACCGAUUUUUUUCGCUGCGAUCAAGAGACACUACAGAAUUGUUCAAAUCCUGAUUGAGAGAGGUGCAGACUUGAGCAUUCGAAACUCAGCCAACCAUACACUUCUGGAAGUUGCGAUGAUGAUGAACGACGCAGAGUUGGUAGCUUUCCUUAGUGCUAAGUCAGGGGUCGAUGACUUACGGAAACCGAGGUGCCACCCCCGUUUGUACACUCCCCCGCGUUGUCUAAAGCGCGUCGGAGUGUCACCCCCGUCGCCAGCAAAGCCAUAUUUAAAACCUGAUAAGAGGAAAUUAGCCAGCCCAGUAUCCACACCAAAAACUCGACCGCUCCGUCAGAUGAAUAACAACCUUCCAAACAGGAACAUCACUCUUCAAAACAACUCUUUCGAACCGAAUGACCAGUUUUCAGACAUCUCCUUUUCCGACUCUUCAAGUUUUUUCUCCAACGAUUUCGUGCCACUUGCAAAAUCUUCUCUUGCCUUCAGAAACUCUUCUUCGUCGAACACUCCCUCCUUCAAUGACAACAAUUCCAGUUUCUGCGCCUCUCCUAAGCUGCAAUCUGCACUGCUGUCUUCACCAUACUCUUUCCAACAGGCGCCCUGUCCAUCACCCAGACUUCCAUUACCGAACUGCACCUAUUAUCACUAUUCAGUAUCCGACGUUCCAACGCUAACAACAUCUCCAGCGACUCCAUACUUGCCGUCACCAGACUGCUCCUAUUUUCACUAUUCAUCGCCGACACCUCUCCAGAACUCUACACUUCCACGUACUCCACUUACCACUCCUAAAAAUUUCUUGCAUCCCACUAAAAGCUUCGCACCCUCCCAUACUCCAGUCUCAACCCCAAACUCUGCUCGGUCCUUGAUGGUUCCUCAACUCCUCAACACACCUCAGUCACACGAUCGUAAAUUUUUACACCCUCAAAGGCUGACGUAUCAACAGCCCAGGUCUUUUAUUGCCUCAUACGUGACUCCGCUACGAAUUAGGAACAAGAAGGUGCCAUUGAGGACUAAACUGCUGGAUAAACUGUACAGAAGAGAGAAGUUGAUAAAAAAUGAUGAGAAUCAAAAUUUGGCACCAGUCUGUACUGAUGAUCUCGAGAGUGUUCUGGAGUAUUUGGGACUUGAAAAUACUAUAAACUUUUUGAGUUGAACCAGGUAAUUUUCCUUGCAACAUACCGUUGAUUUGUUGAGUUACUUAGAAAAUGGGUGAACUGAUUUUUCUCAGUUCUGAUCAGGGACAUUUUGGCUGUGAGAUUUCAAAAUGAGUAACUAAAAAUACAAUAAAUUCAAAUAAAAUCUCUGGACACCUGUUCAAAUUUACAUUCAUGCAGGUUGUCAACGGAUACAGUGAAAAAAUUUUCCUAACUUUUCCAGGUUUUCAAAUCUAAAUCAUCAAAAUUCAUUGACUUCUCACAUUGACAAUUAUAACCGCAUACCUAGAUCUGAAAAUAAAAUUUCUUCGGAAUUAAUUUCCCUGCUAAUGACGAAAAAAAUAAACCUAUUUUCUUCAAGUCUUGAUCAUUUACUGGAUUAAAAUUGCAACUUGUUGAAAACUAUUUCUCUUUCCAGUAUUUAGAGUGCGGCUUAAAGCACUAAGCCGAGAACGAUACUAGAACUUUGUGUGAUUUUGUGGACAGCACUGAUCCUUUUAUAGAUUUCAAGUUGCUGCAUUUUUUAAAAUUCCGAGCUUUUCGGAGAUUUCCCUUAUCUGAUGAAUUCCCUCACAAUAACCUAGUUUUUAGACUUGUAGACAUCCUGUAUCACCAAGACUGUCUGUUGCAUCUCGAUGGCCUAAGUCUGAAGACAUUUAUCUCUUACGUUUGUGACUUUGCAGACUUCCAGUCAUAAUUUAUUUUUCUUUCGGAAAACUAGUCACUGUGAUUUCUUGAAAACUUCCCUGAUUUUUCUUUUCUGUCAGCAGAAUAUUUUGUAAGAAUUUCGAACUAUUUAAUAUGGUAACGCACUUUGGCCAUCGAUCUGGGAAAACCUAGCUUCUGCAAGACUCACGUAAGGUGCCACCACGAGACUUUGAAAAGGCCGUGACAAAUCUUUGUCUAAAAAGUUGAAUGCAAGAGUGAAUUAAAGACAUACGUUUUUAUUUACUUCAGGUGGAGCCAGAAAUUUUGAGUACUUUCACUGAGGUUGAUUUGGAAACGAUGGGAAUUGAGGACAAGAAGACUCGCAAGACUAUUUUGAAAAAAAUCAGGAAAGGUUUGCUUGAUGCAAACACAUGACUUUUUCAGUGUUUCGGUUCUAGCUUAUAAGAUUUUCUUCAAGUUUUAGGCGUUAAUCAGUUAAUUUUGGCGCAUGUUUUCUACUUAAAAUGCAUGACUGCUUAAGAUUAACAUCUUCUGUAUUGACUUUUUAGAUUUACUUUUAGUUUAAGGCUUUUAUUAGUUUAAUUACCGCACGUUUUCUCAAGUUUAAAUUCAUGACUGCUUAGCAUUAACAUCUACAUACUUUUCAGUUGAGUUUUAGCAUUUUAGACUUACUUUGAAUUUAGAUUUUAUAAGUUUUAAUACCAAAUGCAUUUUCUUCGUAAAAAUUUGAACAAGUUAUAUUAAAUGGACAUUAAGAACUGAUUUUUGACAACUUUUAUCUAUUAAUAUAACUUUGAAUGCCUCAGUGCGUACUCAUUUGACAGUUUUAAAAGUUUCUGCAUUAAUCUUUACUUUUUCAAAUUUGCAACACUAUAGGACAAAGACAAAAGCUUGAUUAUUUUCACCAACUCGCAAAUUUACUGUUUCACAACUAUUCAUUAUUUCUAGAUUUUGUAUUUUUAAUGUUUUUUACGAUUACAGUAAAACCUCGAUUUAUCGGAUUUCACGGGACCGAGACCAAAUCCGUUAAAUCGCGGAAUCCGUUAAUUCGAAUUAGCGGAUUUCGGCGAAAAUCGACAAAAAUCCGUAAAAUCGAGUUUUUUUCCGGAAAAAUUCUAAAGAUCUCUAUUUUCCCCCCUGGAAGUUUUCCCUUGGAAAAAACGUGAAUUGUGUCGGAUUGUAACUGUUGUGGCGUGGUGUUUAAUUGUCUUACUUUUUGCCGUGUCUGACAAAUCUUUUGCAGUUUUCUGGUCUUCGCUUUAAUCUCAUCAUAUUUAGAAAUGAUCUCGAGCUUUUCCUCCACGCUGUAGGACCGCUGCGUUUUCUUAUCACUCAUUGUCACUCGACAAUCCGAUGUUUCUAUCACUAACACUCUAUAAAGAGCACCAAAACUUCCGAUGACAACACGAUAAUACAAUCCAAACGACAACACGAUAAUACAAUCCAACGACAACACGAUUUUACAAUCCAAACGACAACACGAUAAUACAAUCCAAACGACAACACGAUAACGCACGGCGAGAUAAGACAUGCAAUUAAUGCAUCCGACUGUUGUUGUUUGUGUUUUGUUUUGAUUGGGGAUGAACAGGUGAUUUAUGCAAAUCAGCUGUCUAAUUAGUACAGCCAUUGACCGUUGACCUUGAGUGGUACGCGCGCACGUGUCACGAGGGUGCGGGUGCGCGGAGGGUGCGCAUCUUUUGAAAACGAUACGCGAGGGCGAGACAUGACUUGAGAUCUUACGAAUUGGCGAAUUGGCGGGGAGAAAAAAAAAAAGUGACCAAAAUUACGAUCCGUUAAAUCAAAUCGGGUCGAAAUCUCAAUCCGUUAAUCAGCAAAUUUUUAACAUUGAUCAUAUGGGUCCCUCUGAAGGGACCGGAGGAUCGAUCCGUUAAAUCGCGGAAUCCGUUAAAUCGCGAUCCGAUAAAUCGAGGUCUUACUGUAUUAUUAUUAACAUCAAUAUACCAUCAAUAAAGUUCAUUCAAUUUAGAUCCCUACUUAAAUUACAUUUUUUUUAAAUUUUGAAACUCUCGAGGGUAGAGUCAUUCUUUGCAGACAAGAUACAAAAAGGAAUUAAAAGCAUAUGUUCUUGGAACCACUGCUUUGAUUAUAAGAAACUGAGGCAUUUUAGGGAGAGUACUUUAGUGUGAGUCACUUUGCAAAAUUUCAGAAAGCUGACUCAUGAGCAGCUGCCUCAAGUUGGUUUAAAGUUACAAAUUUUAAAUAACAAUCAUCUUUUAUAUUAUUUUUCUACCCUCCGACAUCUACAACAAGCCGAUUAAAACCUUCCUAUUGUUUUUCUAGAAUUUUUAAUUCUGGCGCUUAGGUCUUUCUGAGAAUGACCAAUUCAAUUUAGUACCAAAUCUUGGGACAUAUUAAGUCCUUCUUUGCAAUUUUUGCUAAAAUUCGUAGUCAAUUUACACCUAAGAAAUUUCAACAAAUUUGUCUCCGACAAAUCCAGAAUUUGUUUGCUUUUUAGCUACUUCUGAACAGAUCUCAUGGGAUGCAGCGUUAUUCUACAGUUUUUUAACCGGUAGGUAAAUACAUUUAAGGUUAUUUUUCCAAUUAAUUUUAAGGAUUCAAAGUUGAUUCACUUUCUAGUUAUGCUUUCUUCCGUGCAACAAUUCUGUUCUGAUACACUUGCAGUCAGUAAGCAGGAAGAUGAGUAAAAAUAGAGACUUACCAGAUUGCUCAGACAGCUUGGUUUGACACUUCCUGGUUCUCUUUCUCUUUGUCCAACAGUCUAAUAAUUUUAGCGAUCAAGUCAGGUUUCCUAUCUUUAGUUUGGACGAUGACUCCGUUCUUGCGCAGGUAAUACUGCAGAGUAGGAAUGUUCACCUGUCCCAGCAGUCCUCUCUGCGCGUGAUCUUUCAUAUCAAUGCUGUCAUUGACAGCAGCUUUUUUGGGUUUUUUCUCUGCCUGUUGGACACAACAAGAAGACAGACUUUCAACACAUGGACAGUGCCAAUACGAAGAAACGUACUUUAAUAGAUCAUUACGCAGGGUGAGAAAUGAAGUAUCGAAACAUGUGAAAAACCAUUCAGAAAAUGGGCGCAUGUCCAUUUGGUGCUGACAAGAUUAUGGAACUUUGCUACUCUUUUCUUCUGAUGGAAAUUUGCUUGACUUUGCAGAAAGUUUUCGGUGAAUGACUUCAUAAAAUUACAGUUACAUUAUACAGGGUGUCCGGAAGUUAACGUACUUAACUUUUAGGAUCGCUUUUUCGGCUCAAAAUAUGACUUUUUUUUCCGAUACACAUAUGCCCGAAAACGCUUCAUUAAUGAGCUACGCGCUUCCAAAGUUGCCAUUUUUUUUCUUUGAAAUUAAUGUAAAUCCUCGUCAUUUUUUCAUAAGUGGCUGAAACUUU
RNAcentral lists this long non-coding RNA (5594 nucleotides) under Bemisia tabaci. RNAcentral's name for it is "lncRNA ENSSSA2NGG001563". Lineage: Eukaryota; Metazoa; Arthropoda; Insecta; Hemiptera; Aleyrodidae. The record is from RNAcentral.